Molecule: ribosomal RNA, 497 nt
Filed under: uncultured bacterium
Lineage: Bacteria
Description: partial 16S ribosomal RNA
Rfam family: Bacterial small subunit ribosomal RNA
Source: RNAcentral
GAUGAACGCUGGCGGCGUGCCUAAUACAUGCAAGUCGAGCGAACAGACGAGGAGCUUGCUGCUCUGACGUUAGCGGCGGACGGGUGAGUAACACGUGGAUAACCUACCUAUAAGACUGGGAUAACUUCGGGAAACCGGAGCUAAUACCGGAUAAUAUCUUGAACCGCAUGGUUCAAAAGUGAAAGACGGUGUUGCUGUCACUUAUAGAUGGAUCCGCGCUGCAUUAGCUAGUUGGUAAGGUAACGGCUUACCAAGGCAACGAUGCGUAGCCGACCUGAGAGGGUGAUCGGCCACACUGGAACUGAGACACGGUCCAGACUCCUACGGGAGGCAGCAGUAGGGAAUCUUCCGCAAUGGGCGAAAGCCUGACGGAGCAACGCCGCGUGAGUGAUGAAGGUCUUCGGAUCGUAAAACUCUGUUAUUAGGGAAGAACAAAUGUGUAAGUAACUGUGCACAUCUUGACGGUACCUAAUCAGAAAGCCACGGCUAACUACGUG